UACGUAGGGUGCGAGCAUUAAUCGGAUUUAUUGGGCGUAAAGGGCGCGUAGGCGGCUCAACAAGUCACUUGUGAAAUCUCCGGGCUUAACCCGGAGCGGCCAAGUGAUACUGUCGUGCUAGAGUGCGGAAGGGGCUACUGGAAUUCUCGGUGUAGCGGUGAAAUGCGUAGAUAUCGAGAGGAACACCUGCGGCGAAGGCGGGUAGCUGGGCCGACACUGACGCUGAGGCGCGAAAGCCAGGGGAGCGAACGGG
RNAcentral lists this ribosomal RNA (253 nucleotides) under uncultured bacterium. RNAcentral's name for it is "partial 16S ribosomal RNA". It matches the Rfam family "Bacterial small subunit ribosomal RNA", at positions 524 to 776 of the family's 1533-position model. The record is from RNAcentral.